This 1313-nucleotide long non-coding RNA is filed under the name Homo sapiens (human). Its description in RNAcentral is "long independently transcribed non-coding RNA 1029 (LINC01029)". Lineage: Eukaryota; Metazoa; Chordata; Mammalia; Primates; Hominidae. The record is from RNAcentral.
GGCUCUUUUUGCCUGCCGCCAUCCACGUAAGGUAUGAUUUGCCCCUCCUUGCCUUCUGCCAUGAUUGUGAGGCCUCCCCAGCCACGUGAAACUAAGGAGAGUGCAUGAGAUUAUAUAAAGACUCAGAGAAGAGAUACAGCUCCUCCCGCACCAGAGAAAUGCAGCUCCGUGAGCCCCGAUGGAGCCAGCAUGCUGCUGGGUGCUGAGGAGCAGGCAGAGGCACCCAGGAUGGCGGUCCCCAAGGAGAACGGAGGCACAGAACAACGCAUGAGGGGCCACAUGACUUAGGGCCGGGAUCGGUCACUCAGCCAGCAAAAACACUGGAAGAAAACAAAACAACUUCAGACUCUAUGCUGCAUUUCCGUAAUAUAUCUGCCCAAAGACUGGACAACAAAGGUAAAGGAGGCUGAUGAGGAAACGAAAGGAUCCGUGGUUCUUGGCUCGCUGGGUGGCUCAUCAACAAAGCCCCAGCAUCACUCCUGCAGAUGCCCUAGCCUGGCCUGGGCUGGGAUGGGCAAAAUUCACCAUGGGACUCUUGUUCAAGAGAGGGAGAUCAAAGCCAGAAACACUUACCCAGAAUGGCCAUGCAGACUAAAAUUCCAAUUCUAAAAAUACUUUUAAAAUGUAACGUACAACAAAGGAAAGCUGGAAAAAUAUUUAAAAAAGGAUGAAAGGGCAAGAAAAAUUCAACCCACGACCUCAAGGCGAUUAUAAUCUGUGUUCUGCUGCUUCCCAGAGCCGCUUCAGUCUUCAGCUCAGAGUCUACCAGACACUAAAAUGCAACUGAACACUCAGUUCAUACUUGUUCUUCUAAUUAGCUGCCUCUUCCAUUUGAUUAAUAUUGCCUCCUAAUUUAAUUGUAAAUUGUAUUUCUGGUUUAUAUUUCGCUUCUCCCUCCUGUUGUACCUGGUGACCAUCUUCAUUAAUCAUAUUGUAGCUUUUUAAUGAAUCUCAUAUGCCAAUUUAUGGUGAACAAGACUUGAUAUGAAGGCAUCUUCAUCAAAUCAUUCAUAAUCUUGUAACUAUUGGUUUAUUUUCUGUAACGACCUAUAAAUGUACACCAAAAAAAUGAAAGAUUCCCCCUAAAAUGUAAUGGGACAGAACUUUGUUUACGUAGAUUUCUGAGGAUGGGUUGAGACGCCAAAUUCCGCUUGUGUUUGGAAUUUCUAUUUCACUGGGCUUAGUGAGGGUGCCCAUGUUUUGCAAUCCUGUGCUCUAGAAUCUAUCAUAAACAGAUUCUUCUAAUUGUUUGACAUUAAACUGCAAAUUUGUGUUUUUGUGUCUGCUCAAAUAUAAAAUGUCUUUGGGAAAAA